CGGCCGCUCGCGGGGUGCGCCGGGGGCUCCGAUGGGAACCGAGCGCGGGGGGCCCGGGACCACACAGGUGAGCCCCGCCCGCGGGCUCCCGAUCCACCGAGUUCCCCUAUCCCACGAUCCCGCCCGCCAUCCCCUCCCCCUCGCUUCUCCACCCCAGCUCCGAAGCACUUUCCCAAGCCCGAAGGAGCCCUCGCUGCACCCCGAACCCGUUCUCCGCGUCCUGCUUUCUCCGAGGGAAAAAAAAAAAAGGAGAGAAAGAGAGAGAAGCAAGCAGAUGCGGCGCAAAGCGGGGCGCAGGACGGCAAGAGGCCGCUUCCAGCCUGGAGGGACUUUUCUUGGAAAGGUGGAGACCCCCGGAGGAGUGCGACUCCCCAAGGCCCUGGAGCGAAAAGGCGUUCGCGGGUCAGCCUUGCUGCCAGAAAAAUUUAGCAAACUUCGGGCAGAUCCUCCCACCUGGGGCGAGAGCUCUGGCUGGCCUGGGGCUCAGCCCCGGGACCUUUCCUUUCACACUUUAAGAGCCUCAAGGCACUUUUUCCGUGGAAACCAGGCCAGAGCGAGGACAACUU
Molecule: long non-coding RNA, 566 nt
Filed under: Mus caroli (Ryukyu mouse)
Lineage: Eukaryota; Metazoa; Chordata; Mammalia; Rodentia; Muridae
Description: lncRNA (MGP_CAROLIEiJ_G0013728.1)
Source: RNAcentral